Molecule: ribosomal RNA, 484 nt
Filed under: uncultured bacterium
Lineage: Bacteria
Description: partial 16S ribosomal RNA
Rfam family: Bacterial small subunit ribosomal RNA
Source: RNAcentral
GACGAACGCUGGCGGCGUGCUUAACACAUGCAAGUCGAACGAUGAAGCUGGAGCUUGCUCCGGUGGAUUAGUGGCGAACGGGUGAGUAACACGUGAGCAAUCUGCCCUUGACUCUGGGAUAACUGCGGGAAACUGUAGCUAAUACCGGAUACUUUCACUGGAAGGCAUCUUCUGGUGAAGAAAGAAUUUCGGUCAAGGAUGAGCUCGCGGCCUAUCAGCUUGUUGGUGAGGUAACGGCUCACCAAGGCGACGACGGGUAGCCGGCCGGAGAGGGUGACCGGCCACACUGGGACUGAGACACGGCACAGACUCCUACGGGAGGCAGCAGUGGGGAAUAUUGCACAAUGGGCGCAAGCCUGAUGCAGCAACGCCGCGUGAGGGAUGAAGGCCUUCGGGUUGUAAACCUCUUUUAGCAGGGAAGAAGCGAAAGUGACGGUACCUGCAGAAAAAGCACCGGCUAACUACGUGCCAGCCGCCGCGGUAA